This 29-nucleotide non-coding RNA is filed under the name Rattus norvegicus (Norway rat). Lineage: Eukaryota; Metazoa; Chordata; Mammalia; Rodentia; Muridae. The record is from RNAcentral.
UACUGUCACAGUAUGUGUACUGUUGCUGG